AGCGGCAGGUGGCGCGGGGGCCCAGUCUGCCUUAGGCCACGUGUUGGGAGGCAGAUCUCGCCACACCCGCGUUUCCUCGAUUGUAAACAGGGUUCUGUUGGGGAUGUUUGCUGCUGCGUGGGUCCGCUGACAGGAUUAAGAGUCCGGGGCCCGUAAGCCGCUUAUCGCCAGGCCCGCAGUGGCCGGGCUAGAAUGGGAGGCGGGCCCCGAGGGCCAGGAGACAGCGGAGAUCACCGACUUCCAGAGGGCCUCCCCGAAUUCCUGAAGACGCUGCUGGGAGGGGACUGAAGCUUCCCCGCCUUGAUGGGGAGGGGUCGUCAGGAGGGGUUUAUCUGGAUUUCCAGACUGUGUUCUCCCCCAGAGCCUAGUCUGGACCCCAUGGCUCUAGGGACCGGGAGAAGCUGACGGUGGGGGAGGAGCUGGGAGAAGGGGCGCGUUUGCCGUUAGGGGCGGAGCUAGAACCUGGGAGCCUGAGGUGAUGCUGGGGACACCUGAAAGGUCGGCUGUGUGCUGGAGGUGGGCGGUUCCCGUGGGGGCGGGGCUAGGCUGCCUGGGCGGGGCCGAAAUCCGGGCAGGCGGAGUUAGAGCAGGGGGCGGGGUCAGCGCGCGGAGCUGGGGCUCCUGCCACGGGUAUGCGGCGGAGCCGCUAGUGGGAGCGCGGGCAGCGUGCCGCGUGGGAGCCCGCGGAGGAGGAAAGCGGGGACUCCUGACUAGAGUGUGGGAGGCAGAGGGCGGAGCGGGCGGGGCUCGAGCGCUGGAGUAGACGGUCCGACAGGCAGAGAGAACUGAGCCUGGCUGCGGCGGAGGGCGGGGAUCGCCAGUCCUCGAGAGCUCUGUGCUCCACACCGCGGAUGCGCCGGGGAUCCUUCCUAAUGACAUCGCCUAGCGUCUCCGGAGUCGUCAUCCUGAGGAAUGGGGACCCAGGGGGUGCCGGCUCGGGGCCUUGCUUCUUGCAGCUCCUCUGUGGUCAGGCUGGAUCCUCCACCAUCAGGGAGACCCCAUCCUGACCUUUGUCACCUGCCCCUCCCACUGUGGGAUGCUGAGCACAGAACCCACAGCCCAUCUGCCUCCUCACCUCCCUGAAUCCGUGUCUAUCUGCAAUAAACCACAGCCCCGGCUGCCUCGUGCUGUG
Molecule: long non-coding RNA, 1132 nt
Organism: Sapajus apella (tufted capuchin)
Lineage: Eukaryota; Metazoa; Chordata; Mammalia; Primates; Cebidae
Exons: 4
Source: RefSeq, a predicted model, not a curated record